Molecule: small RNA, 70 nt
Filed under: Bradyrhizobium sp. ERR14
Lineage: Bacteria; Pseudomonadati; Pseudomonadota; Alphaproteobacteria; Hyphomicrobiales; Nitrobacteraceae
Description: sRNA Ms_AS-8
Rfam family: Actinobacteria sRNA Ms_AS-8
Source: RNAcentral
CCUGAUCAGAGUGAUGGAUUCCAGAUCUUGCUCGGGAGGUGCGCCCGCUUCACGUCACCCCGCCAGGGCC